RNAcentral lists this ribosomal RNA (468 nucleotides) under uncultured bacterium. RNAcentral describes it as "partial 16S ribosomal RNA". It matches the Rfam family "Bacterial small subunit ribosomal RNA", at positions 28 to 507 of the family's 1533-position model. The record is from RNAcentral.
GACGAACGCUGGCGGCGUGCUUAACACAUGCAAGUCGAACGGAAAGGCCCUGCUUUUGUUGGGUGCUCGAGUGGCGAACGGGUGAGUAACACGUGAGUAACCUGCCCUUGACUUUGGGAUAACUCCAGGAAACUGGGGCGAAUACCGGAUAUGAGCUCCUGCUGCAUGGGGUGGGUUGGAGAGUUUCGGCGGUUGGGGAUAGACUCGCGGGUUAUCAGCUUGUUGGUGGGGUAGUGGCUUACCAAGGGUUUGACGGGUAGCCGGCCUGAGAGGGUUACCGGCCACAUUGGGACUGAGAUACGGACCAGACUCCUACGGGCGGCAGCAGUGGGGAAUAUUGCACAAUGGGCGGAAGCCUGAUGCAGCAACGCCGCGUGCGGGAUGAUGGCCUUCGGGUUGUAAACCGCUUUCGCAUGUGAUGAAGCGUGAGUGACGGUAAUGGGUAAAGAAGCACCGGCUAACUACGUG